AUGAGGAACCAGCUGAAAAUAAUGAUGAUCCUUUGUACUGUACACAACAUGCUACUGGAAAUGCAGAAUUUGUGGCGGAAUCACCUAAUUCCCCUAUCAUCCAAAGAGUGGAUGGUGCUACUACAGAAGCAAUGGAGACAGAUGGGCAAUCAAGUCAUGGGGGGCGUGCUCCGGGCAGUACACAAGUACCUACAGCUGUAG
This 201-nucleotide ribosomal RNA is filed under the name Triticum aestivum (bread wheat). RNAcentral describes it as "partial small subunit ribosomal RNA". Lineage: Eukaryota; Viridiplantae; Streptophyta; Magnoliopsida; Poales; Poaceae. The record is from RNAcentral.